GACGAACGCUGGCGGCGUGCUUAACACAUGCAAGUCGAACGGAAAGGCCCUGCUUUUGUGGGGUGCUCGAGUGGCGAACGGGUGAGUAACACGUGAGUAACCUGCCCUUGACUUUGGGAUAACUUCAGGAAACUGGGGCUAAUACCGGAUAGGAGCUCCUGCUGCAUGGUGGGGGUUGGAAAGUUUCGGCGGUUGGGGAUGGACUCGCGGCUUAUCAGCUUGUUGGUGGGGUAGUGGCUUACCAAGGCUUUGACGGGUAGCCGGCCUGAGAGGGUGACCGGCCACAUGGGGACUGGGAUACGGCCCAGACUCCUAGGGGAGGCAGCGGUGGGAAAUAUUGCACAAUGGGCGGAGGCCCGAUGCAGCAACGCCGGGUGCGGAAUGACGGCCUUCGGGUGGUAACCCGCUUUGGCCUGUACCGAGGCGUGGGUAACGGUAAUGGGUAAGGAAGCACGGGCUAACUACGU
This 467-nucleotide ribosomal RNA is filed under the name uncultured bacterium. Its description in RNAcentral is "partial 16S ribosomal RNA". It matches the Rfam family "Bacterial small subunit ribosomal RNA", at positions 28 to 506 of the family's 1533-position model. The record is from RNAcentral.